UGGGGAAUAUUGGACAAUGGGGGGAACCCUGAUCCAGCCAUGCCGCGUGUGUGAAGAAGGCCUUAUGGUUGUAAAGCACUUUAAGCGAGGAGGAGGGUACUGGUAUUAGUACUACCAGGUACUGGACGUUACUCGCAGAAUAAGCACCGGCUAACUCUGUGCCAGCAGCCGCGGUAAUACAGAGGGUGCAAGCGUUAAUCGGAAUUACUGGGCGUAAAGCGCGCGUAGGUGGUUCGUUAAGUUGAAUGUGAAAGCCCCGGGCUCAACCUGGGAACUGCAUCCAAAACUGGCGAGCUAGAGUAGGGCAGAGGGUGGUGGAAUUUCCUGUGUAGCGGUGAAAUGCGUAGAUAUAGGAAGGAACACCAGUGGCGAAGGCGACCACCUGGGCUCAUACUGACACUGAGGUGCGAAAGCGUGGGGAGCAAACAGG
RNAcentral lists this ribosomal RNA (430 nucleotides) under Pseudomonadota bacterium. Its description in RNAcentral is "Proteobacteria bacterium partial 16S ribosomal RNA". It matches the Rfam family "Bacterial small subunit ribosomal RNA", at positions 355 to 776 of the family's 1533-position model. Lineage: Bacteria; Pseudomonadati; Pseudomonadota. The record is from RNAcentral.